GGAGCUUUUUGGUGACAUCAAUAAAAUUGGAAUGCUGGAGGGAGGGUUGGCAUGGCUCUUGCACCAGGAUGACAUUCACAAGCUGAGAAAUGGUCCAAAAUUUC
This is a small nuclear RNA of Elaeis guineensis (African oil palm), 104 nucleotides long. The record is from RefSeq and is a predicted model, not a curated record. Lineage: Eukaryota; Viridiplantae; Streptophyta; Magnoliopsida; Arecales; Arecaceae.